AUUUUUUGUUGGAAUGGUUUAAGGCAUAAGAGGUUUGGUGACAGUUCUACAACUGGCCUAACUUGAGGUCCCCUUGACCUGGGUCCUGCUGAAUGGGCAGAAUGUCAUCAUCACCAACCCAAGUAUGUAUGUAUUGAGAAAAUGAGUGACUCAAGAAGUAUUUGCCAAACAUCUUUCAGCCCAGUAUAUCUUUUGGAGUGCCCUGCUGAGAAAUUCUUCUUAAAAAUGUUGAGUAAAUUUAAGGACCUGGAAUAUUGUGGUACCAAUGACAAUAGAUGAUGCACUAAAGGAGAUUAGAGGAAACCAAGUGAUUUUUCAAGAUUGCUUUGUUGCAGAUUUUCUUGUUCUGUUGACUUUUCCUAUGUUAACUAUACCGGAAGUUCCUGGUUAUUUACCAAUCUCUUCACCGCGUGGUAGUCAACUAAUUGCUUUCCAUGAUUCUUGUGUUUUUGCAUGUGUUGUUUUGGUAACUGACAGGGAGACCUAUCAAACAAAUGACUCAUUCCGUACUUGGACCAAAAUCAGAGUGCCUCCAAACAUUCUGAGUGAUGAUGAAAGACAGAAUGUAACUCAAGUGAUUUUAUCACGGGAUGGAGUAAUUUUUUACAUAAAUGGUGUUCUUUACCUAAAAAGUUUUCAUGGAUUUAUAAAAAUGGGAAGAACUCUAAAUCUUCCUGAUGAUGGAAUUGCUGGCAUUUCAUCAAGAAAAUGGUGUUGGGUCAAAUAUUUAUUCAAGUCUAAAGGAAGAAGAAGCAACUUGGCAGUCUGGACAGAAAAUGAAAUUUACCUCGGAUAUAUUCUUCUUAAAUUUGCCAGAUUUGUAACGACCGCACAACUGAAAACGAUCCUAAAUCUACCAGUCGCUACUACUCUGACCAUCCACUCCGUUCAGUAUACAGGACACCCUCUGGAGAUUGCUGUGUUUUUAAAUUAUUGCAUUACGUGUACCGUCACCAAAAAGAUUUUCUUAGUGAUAUAUAAUGAAGAUACGAAACAGUGGAUUCUCCAAGACUUGCCAUUAGAUGCCCCUAUUGACAGUGUUUUCUUCCCACAUUUUAUGUUUUCAGCACUGCCAGGAUUGAUACUGUGGAACAAGCAUAGUGUCUACUAUUAUUACAAUAAUUUCACCUUUACUGGGAUUUUGCAGACACCUGCAGGACAUGGAAAUCUAUCAAUGCUAUCAAAUGGCAGCAUUAUUCAUGAAGUUUUAAUAGAUUAUUAUGGAAAUGUUUUGGUAAAAAUGGAAAAUAAUGUAAUGUUUUAUUCCAAGAUUAAUAUUGGAGAUGCAGUCAGGCUGCACUUAUGGAUAAGCAACACAACAAAAGCAAUCAUCUUCUUAAAUACAUCUGGUCUCAUGUACUUCUUGUAUGUUUUUGAUGAUGACUUAAUACAAACAGAGGACUAUCCCUUAAAUCUGGAAGCAAAAAGUAUAACUCUCAGGACAAAAGACAGUUGCCCAUACAUGGCAUUUCACAAUAAUAUUGCUUAUGUUUUUUACUUUUUGGACAAGGGAGAGGCUCUGACAGUUUGGGCUCAAAUAGUCUAUCCAGAAAAUAAUGGCCUGUAUGUUAUUAUGGAAUCCUAUGGCCCAAAAAUAUUAGAAGUGAGACAUAAUAUUUCCUUUGAAGUUGCCUUUGGAUACUGCACCAAAACUCUGUUACUAACGUUUUAUCAGAAGAUAAAUUAUGAGGGAACAGAUGAUUACUUUGGAAUGCAAAACAACAACACGGGGCUUGUGUUGAUUCAAGUUCGACCUAGUGAAUAUUCAAAAGCAUGUUCGGUACCCCAAAAGGUGUUCCAAAUAGCUGUUGGCUGUGAUAAUAAAAAAUUUAUUGCAGUUAAGGGAUUUAGUAAAAAAGGAUGUCACCGCCACGAUUUUUCUUACGUGAUUGAAAAGUCAUAUCUGAGGCAACCACUGUCUAAAAACUUGAAAGUUAGGUAUAAUUGGAAAGAAUAUGGCUGCCCCCUGAGGCUUGAGUUCACAGAAAAGUUUCACCCUGUGGUUCAAUUAUUUGAUGAUAACGGCUAUGUUAAAGACGUUGAAGCAAAUUUCAUAGUGUGGGAAAUACACGGCAGAGGUGACUAUACCUUUAAUAAUACAAUGGCGCAGAGUGGUUGUUUACAUACAGCACAGACAUGGGACUCAAUGAUUAAACUUAACGAGCACCUCCCGUUAGAAGAAGUCUGGGGACCUGAGGUAUUCUUUUAUAAGCAACAGAAAACAAACUAACACACAGUGAAAGCCUCCUCGGCUCGGCACACGUUGUCCAUCCACGCUGGGUUCCUAGAGCUUUCGCAGCUGGCACCCCCCUGCACAUGAGUCAAGCUGUUGAGCCCCUCCCCUGCUUUCUUGGAGUUUCCUUCCCUGAAAGACUGCCACCAGACAGGGCAAGCAUGGCAACACGGGCACACAAAACAUUUAGAGUCUUUACAGUGAUGCUAACUAAAGCCAGAGGAAAUAUGACAAGCCUGUCUUCUGUGAAAAUUCCUCGACAAUACAGGUCAGUACAAUGCUAUGCACAGCAAAAUUCUGUUGGUCUUGUGAUCUCACCCUUUGCUUUUUAUACAAAUAUCUUCUACACUUUUCCCAGAAGUCUGUCAAAGCAGGGCUGGAACAUACAUGUUCCCUGUCCCUGACUACUAUGUACUUCCUCGGUCUUUCACAUCGCGGUACCACUGACGUGAGGAAGGAACCCAUAGCCAACGCAGCCAGGCAGGGUGUACCCACAGCUGAGCAGCAAGUGGGCCUUCUGCUCCGUUCAGUCAGACCGUGUUUUUGGCUCAGCCAUUGCUUGUGGUUACCAGAAUAUAAAUGGUAAGCCACCUUCUCCUCCUAAACUUUCUUAUUUUGAAAAUCAUUUUUUAUUUUCAUUUUUACUGUGUAAUAUAUGCAUGUAAAACUCCUCCUCAUCUUGAUGGCCUACACAUGUUACUCCUGACUCAGUUAUGUAACAUGUUACAUGUUUAUCUGCAACGCAUGUUAGCCUAAAAUUUUAUUACUCAAACGAUUCUCGCUCAACCUGGCUGGGGCGCGGCCACUCUGCUGAACGACCUGUAAACACCGCUCUCACUGUUGCCUCCUCACUAUUCAUUCACAUUCCUAGGAGAGAACUCGAGUUGGUGGAGCUGCCCUACCACCACCCCAGCUAUGUCCUGGGGUAGGAGGCCAAAGAAUCUGUGCCUGUCAGCUUUUGGAAUAAAAGAACUAUAAACACUGUUUUUCCUAUGGCAUUGGAAAACCAGGAGACUUAAAUCAACCAUACGAG
Molecule: non-coding RNA, 3266 nt
Organism: Saimiri boliviensis boliviensis (Bolivian squirrel monkey)
Lineage: Eukaryota; Metazoa; Chordata; Mammalia; Primates; Cebidae
Source: RefSeq, a predicted model, not a curated record